Molecule: transfer RNA, 75 nt
Filed under: Pseudomonadota bacterium
Lineage: Bacteria; Pseudomonadati; Pseudomonadota
Description: Proteobacteria bacterium (freshwater metagenome) tRNA-Arg
Rfam family: tRNA
About the family: Transfer RNA (tRNA) molecules are approximately 80 nucleotides in length. Their secondary structure includes four short double-helical elements and three loops (D, anti-codon, and T loops). Further hydrogen bonds mediate the characteristic L-shaped molecular structure. tRNAs have two regions of fundamental functional importance: the anti-codon, which is responsible for specific mRNA codon recognition, and the 3' end, to which the tRNAs corresponding amino acid is attached (by aminoacyl-tRNA synthetases). tRNAs cope with the degeneracy of the genetic code in two manners: having more than one tRNA (with a specific anti-codon) for a particular amino acid; and 'wobble' base-pairing, i.e. permitting non-standard base-pairing at the 3rd anti-codon position.
Source: RNAcentral
GCCCUCGUAGCUCAAUGGAUAGAGCAGCUCCGUCCUAAGGAGAAGAUCCAGGUUCGAUUCCUAGUGAGGGCACCU